AUCCUGGCUCAGGAUGAACGCUGGCGGCGUGCCUAACACAUGCAAGUCGAGCGAUUUACUUCGGUAAAGAGCGGCGGACGGGUGAGUAACGCGUGGGUAACCUGCCCUGUACACACGGAUAACAUACCGAAAGGUAUGCUAAUACGAGAUAAUAUGCUUUUAUCGCAUGGUAGAAGUAUCAAAGCUCCGGCGGUACAGGAUGGACCCGCGUCUGAUUAGCUAGUUGGUAAGGUAACGGCUUACCAAGGCGACGAUCAGUAGCCGACCUGAGAGGGUGAUCGGCCACAUUGGAACUGAGACACGGUCCAAACUCCUACGGGAGGCAGCAGUGGGGAAUAUUGCACAAUGGGCGAAAGCCUGAUGCAGCAACGCCGCGUGAGCGAUGAAGGCCUUCGGGUCGUAAAGCUCUGUCCUCAAGGAAGAUAAUGACGGUACUUGAGGAGGAAGCCCCGGCUAACUACGUGCCAGCAGCCGCGGUAAUACGUAGGGGGCUAGCGUUAUCCGGAAUUACUGGGCGUAAAGGGUGCGUAGGUGGUUUCUUAAGUCAGAGGUGAAAGGCUACGGCUCAACCGUAGUAAGCCUUUGAAACUGAGAAACUUGAGUGCAGGAGAGGAGAGUGGAAUUCCUAGUGUAGCGGUGAAAUGCGUAGAUAUUAGGAGGAACACCAGUUGCGAAGGCGGCUCUCUGGACUGUAACUGACACUGAGGCACGAAAGCGUGGGGAGCAAACAGGAUUAGAUACCCUGGUAGUCCACGCCGUAAACGAUGAGUACUAGCUGUCGGAGGUUACCCCCUUCGGUGGCGCAGCUAACGCAUUAAGUACUCCGCCUGGGAAGUACGCUCGCAAGAGUGAAACUCAAAGGAAUUGACG
This 870-nucleotide ribosomal RNA is filed under the name uncultured bacterium. RNAcentral's name for it is "bacterial SSU rRNA". It matches the Rfam family "Bacterial small subunit ribosomal RNA", at positions 16 to 915 of the family's 1533-position model. The record is from RNAcentral.